CCAAUUCCUACCAGAUCCAUUUGUGAGGCGAAUUUCGUGGCGGAUUACUGACAGCAGGAAUCGUGAGAACUCACAAGAACUCGCAGAUUCACGUUCAAUCUCACGAUAACGAGUUGUCUCUAUAAAGACAGACACAUAGACAUAUAAGCAGUAGAUUGUGUCCUUCCAGAGGAGGAAAUCUACUUCUAGACUUCUAGAAUCAGCAUCUCCUCAUCCAUGGUGUCAUCGGGGUGAAAUGACGUCUAAAAACCUUUCACUUGUUCGUCUCCGCCCGUUUGCAUGGUGUGAAAUACGAUCCUCCUGAAACACGGAGUCUUUUAUUUUGAAAAGAAGCCGGAUGUUUUAUUUUGAAGUCUGUGCCCGACUUCCUUUCCAGCACGGGUUAAUCUGUGCUGAAUUUAUCCGCCAUGCUCCGGCGUCCAGAAAAAAUAGAACUCUUGUGAUCAGCUGAGGAGUCCGGCGAUCCGCAGAGGAACGGAAAGAAGUCGGUGUAAAUUGACACGUUAACU
Molecule: non-coding RNA, 509 nt
Organism: Xyrichtys novacula (pearly razorfish)
Lineage: Eukaryota; Metazoa; Chordata; Actinopteri; Labriformes; Labridae
Source: the annotation of a GenBank genome assembly